This 413-nucleotide ribosomal RNA is filed under the name uncultured microorganism. RNAcentral describes it as "bacterial SSU rRNA". It matches the Rfam family "Archaeal small subunit ribosomal RNA", at positions 330 to 748 of the family's 1478-position model. The record is from RNAcentral.
GUGCAGCAGUCGAGAAACUUCACACUGUGCGAAGCACGAUGAGGGAAUCCCAAGUGCUUGCACGUAAGUGUAAGCUGUUCUCUGUCUAAACGCAGAGAGAGUAAGGGCUGGGUAAGACGGGUGCCAGCCGCCGCGGUAAUACCUGCAGCUCAAGUGGUGACCGUUAUUAUUGGGCCUAAAACGUCCGUAGCCGGUUUAAUAAAUGCCUGGGUAAAUUGUGUAGCUUAACUAUACGAAUUCCGGGUAGACUGUUAAACUUGAGACCGGGAGAAGUUAGAGGUACUCCUGGGGUAGAGGUGAAAAUUCUGUAAUCCUAGGGGACCACCAGUGGCGAAAGGCGUCUAACUAGAACGGGUCUGACGGUGAGGGACGAAGCCCUGGGGCGCAAACGGGAUUAGAUACCCCGUAGUCCC